Molecule: long non-coding RNA, 22441 nt
Filed under: Citrus sinensis (sweet orange)
Lineage: Eukaryota; Viridiplantae; Streptophyta; Magnoliopsida; Sapindales; Rutaceae
Description: long non-coding RNA (CSIN_LNC003745)
Source: RNAcentral
AUAACUUUUAAGGUAUUGUAAAAAAAAAAGUUAGAACUAUAAAAUAAAUAAAAAAUGUAUAGUAUAUAUGACUUUUAAAUAAUAAUUUUGAUAAAAAUAAUAAUAAUGUUAUAAGUUUUUCAUUAUGAAAAAGUAAGAUAUCCACUUAGCUUCUAAGUUAUAAUUGCAAAUGUUUACUAAAACAAUGAAAUACUUUUGUGCUGUAACUUUUAAGCGAUAUACAGUUGUCCGUCCACAAAACCAAACAAGAUCUAAAGUUUGGUAUGACACAAUCUAUAUUUCUACUCUUCUGGUUAGUGUGAAGAUAUAGUUUCCUCUACUCAAUUAUAUAAUGAAGAACAAAAUGUGUGAGUCCCAGUCCCAACAUAUGCUGCCUUUGAAUUUUAACUUCUUUUUAUUUUUUGCUAUUUAAUUUACUUGAAUCUACGUGUGAUGUUGUAAAGAUGAGGAUGAUUCAUUUAAAUUGAAAGGGGAUUUUAGUUACAAUGACCAUGCAGUUGUUGGAGAUGUGAUUGUAUCAUUUGUAAGUUGCUACAAUCAAAUUAUAUGUAUGGGUAGACGCACAACACCAACUUCAGCUAGAACUUUGAAAAUGGGGUUUCACAAGUUUUAUUUCUCUAUUUGUAAAUGUGUUUAGGUUAAAAAAUUCCGAGUUCGAACAUUGCACUUUAUAAAAUACUGAUUUAAGUAAUUAAAUGAUGUGUUUGGUUAUUACAAUUAACAUUGUGGUGCUACAAAUAUAUACUAUUAAUUGGAUUGUUUUAAACAGUAUUAUAUUGCUCAAAUCAGUGCUUUUUGAAGUGGAUAAAGACUCAAAAUUAAGUAAAAUUUAUAAAUUUAAUGAGAAAAUUAAUCAUUUGUUAAUAAUUCAGUAGUACACUCUCGCCUGUAAAAUUAUGUGAUAUUUUUCUAUGCUUUCAAACUUCAAUGGGAAGAUAGAGACUAGAGGUAAGAAGAAUUGUAUCAGCAAACUGUCAAGAAAUAUCAUUGAUACGGAUUCUUCAUAUAAAAAAAAAAAAAAAGAAAUUGUUUAUUGAGCACAUGCCAAAUUCCAAAAGCUUUUCUGGCAGCAUAAUGGCCUCCACUACUUUUUUGCCGAGUAAAAUUAAAUUAAAAUCUCUCAAGCACAGGCGAAAGCAAAAUGGAAUAAAGGCCCAACAUAAAAUAUCAGUUAUAUUCACUUGGCAUUUUAUUAAAAUUAAUUAUCGAGGGCUAUAUACAACCACUCAAAAGUCAAAAGAAAACUUGUUAUUCUCUCUCUCUCUCUCUCUCUCUGCUUAAUUUUCAUCAAGCUUUCUUGAUAUACAAAUUAAUCUAAAGACCAUUUUUUCUUUUCUCUUCUUCUAACCAUGAAGGAUUUGAGUUUUUAUGUUGGAGUAAUAGGUGAGUGUGUGUGUGUGUGUAUUUCUAUCUUUAUAUAUGCAAUUUUUAGCAAAUUAAACAUCAAACAUAGAAAACAUUGCCAUAUAUACAUUUGCAUGCUUUAUAAGUUUUUUGUUUUCUUGUUGCAGGCAGCAUAAUCUCAGUGCUCAUGUUUCUUGCUCCAGUGUAAGUCUUUGAUCAUAUCGACCAAAUCCCAUCUCUUUUAUCUGCACUAUAUCUAAUUAAUUGCAUAUUUAAUUUAUAAAGAUAUAUUACUGCAUCACAAUUAAUUAGUUUUUAUAUAUGAAAAUUGCAUACGAGCAGUAGAACAUUUUGGAGAAUCAUAAAGCAUCGAUCGACUGAGGAAUUUCAGAGCCUCCCCUAUAUCUGCACUUUGUUAAAUUCAUCUCUGUGGACUUAUUACGGAAUCACAAGACCUGGAAGCUAUCUUGUCGCCACUGUAAAUGGCUUUGGCAUUUUAGUUGAAGCUGUUUAUGUAACCUUAUUUUUCAUAUAUGCUCCAACAAAAGCAAUGAGGGUAACUUUUUCUUUUCUUUUUUCUUUUCUAAUAUACACUCACUACUUGUUAAUUGUUUCAUUUAUCAUAUAUAAAAAUCAUUCUCACGAGCUAAGAAAAUAUUACCCACGCCAUGCGUGCAUUUUGGAAUAAUUGCAGGCUAAAACUGCGAUUAUUUUCGGCAUACUGGAUGUGGGAUUUUUAGGAGCAGCAAUUGCAGCGACUCGUUUGGCAUUAGAAGGAGAAGCUCGCAUUGAUGCCAUAGGGUUUAUGUGUGCCGGCCUCAAUAUUAUUAUGUAUGCAUCGCCUCUAUCCGCCAUGGUAAUUAAUUAUCUGCUUAAUUCCUAAUCUAAAAUUUGCUCUUAAUUAAUUAGUUUUUCUUGGUUAAUUAAUUUCUCACAGGAUAAGAUCUACAAUAUUAUUGUUCUUGUUAAUUUCUUUUGCUUUUUUCUUCCAAAACAAGAAGCCUUUCUAUAUUCGGUAUUCUCAUGCCGUAACCAGAUCACUAAUUAUAUAUUUCUCUAUAAGCUACAGAUACUCUUCUUCAUCUUCUUCAUCUUCUUCAUCUUCUUCAUCUUUCCUAAUAAAUAAUAAUUUAUAGAGUUAAGAGUCAAAACUCUCCAUGCAUUCUUUAAUGCGAACUUGUCAUGACAACUCUUCAUCUACUCUUCUUCUUCCUCCUAAUAAAAUAAUAAUGUAUGUCUUUAAUAUAACAAGGCAUGGAAGUGAUUAAUGACGUGAUUGAUGGCGUUAAUCACUUCCCAGAUCCUCUCACUUGUGUAUUCAACUUCAAAAUAUCUAAUGACGCAUAUAAAUAUAUAUAAAUGGUUAAGAUUUAAUUAUUUGGCACAUUACGGCAAGACCCCUGUCUUCAUUAAUAGGGUGGCAAAAUCUGACCUUUAAAAAUGUAUUGAAAAAAGAAAGAAAGAAAGAAAAAGAAAGGUGGCAAAAUCUAAACCAUACUCGCCAUGGCAACAUAUUUCAAGAUAGCUAGCCACCGACAUUGGUUGGGCCGUUGAGGGGCAUGGGGAUCGAGUGGCCCUCAGCUAAGCCGUCAGAUUUUUCUUACAUUAUUAUUAUUAUUAUUAUUAUUAUUUGUUCUGUUUGGUCAUUCAAUAUGUUUUUUUUUUCUUUUCCUUUUUAAUGACAUAAUAAUAAUACUGCAUAUAAUUGCUGGUUCAUGUUUGAUCCACAGAAAACAGUGGUGACAACAAAGAGUGUGGAGUUCAUGCCAUUCAUGCUCUCAUUCUUCUUUUUCUUGAACGGUGGAAUCUGGGCUUUCUAUGCUUUGCUUGUUCGUGAUAUUUUCCUUGGUGUAAGUGCUUUUUCUUUUUCCUUUUUUUUUAAAAAAAUCCUCAUCUCUUUUACAUUUUUCUUUAUUUGCAUAAUCAUGUAACACAUAUAAUUAUGUAGCAACCGUUGGAUGAAAAAUUAACGAUUGUGGAAAUAUAAAAUAAUAAAAUUAUAUUAUUUCUACAACCGUUGAAUUUUUAUCAAAAAAUUACUAUAUAAUCAUAUAUGUUACAUGAUCAUGUAAUAUAACAAAAGUCUUAUUUUUAAUAUUAUUAGUUUGAUUGAAAGGGGCUCACACUCCGGUUGAAAAACCCUAAGCAGACAGUACUGGAUUAAAUGGCUAGGGCAAGUAGGUCCAUUUUAGUCGUAUCACCUAGUGGCAUUAAGGUCCAAACAAAAUUAUUGAGUGUCCACAUUAAUGGCUAAUGCUGCCCCCUUCCAUCUUCGUUCUAUGCUAUCUUUCUCAAACAUAUCAACACGUUCUGCCAAUGUCAAAUUUUUAGAGAGUUUUGGGUACCACACGGUGUGUACAAAUUUAUUGGUUGAUGUACAUUGAAAAAUUCAACUAGUGCAAGAGAACCGCCCAAAAUUUUCCUCAAUUGCGAUGCUUCCUCCAUUAUUUUUGAAUAAUUGAUUCCUAAUUUUUUGGCCCACAAUUUUCCGCUUCAUAAGUUAAUUAUUUAUGAACCCGAUUGUAGUCGAAAAUGAAAACCUUUCUUGGUUCAACCCAUGCCAGCUUAUUAUUAUUUCCUACUUCAUAGCCAUGCCAAUGUUCAUAAGCUUACAGAGAUUCAAUAUUCUGUUAGGAAGAUAAUCUUAUAUUGGCUGGAAAUAAUGAUUGGGUUAAUUAUAUAAGUACUUUUGGUUAAUUUUGUGGUUCAUUAUCUAUAUAUAUAUAUAGGUACCAAAUGGGACGGGAUUUUUGCUGGGAACAGCUCAGUUGGUGCUCUAUGCAAUCUACAGAAAUGCAAAGCCAUCAAAGAAUGCUGCGAAUUCAAUGGAAGAAGGAGCACAACACGAACCGCUAAUUAUCUCUUGAAGGGCAAAGAUAAAACUCUAGAACUUAAGUCGUUCGUUCUUCAUUUUCUUCAAUUUUCAUACUCUCUUACGCAAACGAUAGGGAGGUGAUAUAAUACAAUCGAUCAUAGAUAUAGCUUGUGUGUAAUUAUUCAAUCACCGUUCGCUUGUUGUUUUGAGCUUGUUCAUUAAAGGGGUUGGAGUAUGUGAUUGUAUUCGUAGCGUAUUGUAAUUGUUAAGAAGCCAGCCGGUUGCAUUUUGUGUAAUGUUUUUUCCAGUGUUGAAACUUCAAGGUUUCGUUUUUAAAAUUGUAGAGCUAUAUAAAUUUUAUUUUAUUAUUUAUUAUUAAUAUUUUUUUUUGAGAAUAUAGAGAUAUAUAAAUUAAAGCUUCAUUCAUUUGUUAUUCAUCCGUCUUAUUGGUUACAUACACCAUCAAUCUCAAAUUAAAUAAUUAAUCCAUCUUAUGAUUCGUAAUUUGCAUGCCGCGGCCUGCAUCAACGUGAGAGAGUACAAAUUGAGAUUUGAGGCUUAAAAUUAUCCUAAACCCAAUUUCAAGGCCUCGAUUAUCCUCUUCGAAAACGCCAAAUAAGAAUACGAUUAUCCUUUUUGGGCCGAUGCAGUAAAUAACUUGGGUUGAUUGAAGUUAGCCCAAUAGAGAUUUGAGUCCCUUGAUGUAAAAGGCAUAAGAACAGGCAAUGAGUGAGACUAUUCGCACUCCUGUGAAUCCCUCUUGAAACCCACCCCCCCCCCCCCCCCCCUUAAGUCUAUUAAGAGUAUUUAAAUAAUAUAAAAUUAUUUUAACACUUUCAAAAUGACAAAAAUACCCUCAGUCAAAACUUAUACGUGUAUGUCCAAUUUUUCAGCUUUUAUUUAUUUAUUUUUAUCAUUGUUAAACCCAUACCGGCGUGUUUUUUUUUUUUUUUUGUUUCCUCUUUUUCAGAGCCACAUAUUGUUUUGGACUCUGAGUUUCAGCCACCGGGGGUAAUGGAGCUUCAGUAUCAUUCCCCAGCUAAAUUUUUUUAUUUUGUUUUGAGCAUCAUUGGCAUGAUUCGGGUGUAGUGGCAGCCAUGUGCGUGGUUUGUGGACUAUUGAAGUCGUAUCGGUUUUGACGUGGCAGCAGUGGUGGUGGCUUGGCUUGGUUGUGGUCGACUCGGUGGAGAACGUGGUAGACGGUGACGGCAUGGUGGUUUGUUGAGCGUCCAGCAGCGGCUGGGAGCCAUAAAUGCCGAUCAUGUUGUUGGGUGCAGUUCGGGCGCGAGACAUAAAUUUUUUGUUUUUGGGUUUGGGGUUUAAUUAGAAAUGGUCUUUUUAAUGUAAUUUUGUUAAAAGUAGUUCCACUCAAAGCGAAUCCAUGAACUGUGAAACAUAAAGCACACAAAUUGAAUCUCUAGGGCGGGCCCAAAGUUGUGGGGCCGGGCCUUGAUGCCUCUAAUCUUUUCCCUGAAAGUAUUAUAAGUUAUUAAUACUUAGGGAUGGCAAAAAUCCCCACGGGGACGGGUACCCUCGGGGAUUUUCCCCAUUCGGGGAGGGUACGAGGAUAAUUUUAUACCCAAUUUUUUUUUCGGGGAGGGGACGGGGAAAAUUUUUUACCCAAUUUUUUAUUCGGGGAGGGGACGGGGAUGAGGUGGAAUCCCCAUCCCCUACCCAUUUCCCCAUUUUAAUUUUUAAUUUUAUUUUUAUUUUUAAAAUUACUAAUAAAUAAAUAACAAAAUUAUAAAUAUUGUUAAAAAUAAUAAAUAUUAAAAUAGUUAUAUUAUUAAACUUUUAAACUUAAUUAACUAAUUAAAGUCUUAAAUUUUUAAUCCAAACCACAAUGAUACAGGAGAGAGCUGCCUAAUUAUAAUUUACAACAGUUCUAAUCCUAAUUCGUAUCCUACAUUAGCUCGAAUUGCUAGAGAUAUUUUGGCAAUUCCAAUUACAACAGUUGCUUCUGAAUCAGCUUUUAGCACCGGUGGUAGAGUUGUGAGCUCACACCGUAACAAACUUCAUCCAAGCACAUUGGAGGCCUUAAUAUGCUGUCAAAGUUGGUUACGAGCUUACAAUAGCAGUAUGAGUUUAUUUUACAUUGUAAUUAUAUUAUACAGUUAUUAAUAUUUGCGCUUAUAAGUUACGUUACUUAUAUCAUUUUCAUUGUUUUAGGUUUGAAAUCUGAGGUUAGCUCUCAAUUUGCCACAUUUCUCGAGGAAGAACUAUGUAAACAAUGGAGAUUGUGCAGUUGUUGCAGAUGAAUUAGAUUCAUAUUUGGAUGAGAAAGUUAUAUCUCGGAUGGAAGAUUUUAAUAUUUUGAGUUGGUGGAAGACAAAUGCUAAUAGGUAUCCUACAUUAGCUCGAAUUGCUAGAGAUAUUUUGGCAAUUCCAAUUACAACAGUUGCUUCUGAAUCAGCUUUUAACACUAGUGGUAGAGUUGUGAGCUCAUACCAUAACAAACUUCAUCCAAGCACAUUGGAGGCCUUAAUGUGCUGUCAAAGUUGGUUACGAGCUUACAAUAGCGGUAUGAGUUUAUUUUAAUAUGAUUAAUUUAAAAUCGAAAAUAAAAAAAAUGUAUUAGACUAUUAGUUAUUCGGGGACCGGGGACCCUCGGGGAUCCCCUGUUAUUAUUCGGGGAGGGGAUGGGGAUUCUCUCAACCAAUUCUGACGGGGACGGGGAGGGGACGGGGACAUAUGUAAAAUAUCGGGGAUGGGUAUGGGGAGAUUGGUCCCCUCCCCUCCCCUCCCCAUUGCCAUCCCUAUUAAUACUAGUCGAACCCCACCGCAAUAAAAGUAUUCGAGACUCUUAAAAUAUGUUUGAAAUCAAGAUUUGUGAAAAAAGAAAAAAAGAUAAAGAUAAAAAUUAGUGUCAAUUUAUAAGAACAUUUUCAAUUAACCAUUUUUCUUAUUUUUGGUAGUUCAAAAAACAGAGUAUCAAAAUCAACGAUCAAUGUGUUCAGUAUCCAAUCCACGAGUUUUUGAAACGAUAAUAAGUGGCCUACUACUGUAAAUUAGGCUAAAUUGAGGCUGUUUCUGCAAAUUUUCCCAAUAAAAACCCCUGCGUCAAAGUAAAAAUACAAAAAACAAAAAACAAAAAUUGCACAAACAGACCUCAUGCUGCAAAAAAGCAUUUGGAUGGGUUUCUCAGAAUAUCUGAGCCGUCGCAUUUGAUCAUGAAACAACAAAGCAUGAUAGGGACGGGAGGAGAAAAAUCAACGGCCGUGAUAUACUGUGGAAAAUGGUAGAUGCAUCUGAUGUUGACAGGGGAUCAACUAAAAUCUAAUGGAGGGGGGCACAUCGCAGUCACAGUGUAUUCCUCUCCAAUCAUGUGGUGUUACGUUGCAGUAAACAUUCACGAAGAACUGGACCCCACCACAAGUUCCAUUAAAUAACGAAAAAUUCCCACGUAGCCCCGCCCCCACGGACGUCGCAUGGGACAAAAGCUUUGACUAUCACUGUGUUUUUUUCUGAUCCAACGGUGGAUAUUGCAAGAUAAGACAGCAUAUUGUCACGGGUGUUACGACCCCGUGCGGCCCUCCCCACUCUCAUAUCGCAAGAGUAAGAUUAUUUGGGGCUUAUUAGAAGAAUGGCUCCAGUUACCAACCAAUAUGCAGGGUUUGGCCUAAUCCCUUCUUCUUCAACGUUAAAUUCUUGACUAGCAAUAAGCUUCCUGAACUCAAUUGCACCUUGAAGUAAGUCUCCCACAAUCAGCACAACUAUAGUCAAUACUAACAUAUAAGCGCAUAAUUGGGCAUCACGAUUGCGGUCCGUGCAUUAUGCUUAAUACUAUCUAUCAAUCGCUAAUGUUUUCUCCUUAAUUUAGGAAAGCCUAUUGUUUAUUAAACAAAUGGAUUUUUAUAUAGGUACAAAAAUAAAUAAAAAAAGAUCAAGAGAUUUUUGAUAAAAAGAAAAAUUUCCCAUAAUUCUUAAAUCAUUGGGUGGUUAUUGUUUUCUUUAAAUAUAAAUAAUUCUAAAUUUAACUAAAAUUUGAAUAAAUCUAUAUGUAAAAAUCACAAUCAUAUGUUUUUUUUUUUUAGUUCAAUCUCGGACUACCUCUCGGUAAUUGAUUAUCUUCAGAUAGUUUCUUUUAAUUUUUAAAAAAACCUUGUCUUUUGAAUAAAAAUAAGAAUAACUUAAGGCUUUUUAAAAUAAGGGGGCAAUUUGAAAAUGUUUAAUUCAAAAAGGGGUAAUUUAAAAUUUAUCUUUUUCUAUAUUAAAACUUGAAAACAUUAUUUUUACAAAUUAAAACUUGCAAUUUAAUUGGCAAUGAAAAGAUAAGGUUUUGUUAAAGUAAAAAACUAUAGUUUUUUUUUUGGGAAAUUAAUAAUAUAUAGAUUUAGAUUAGCGAUAAGUCCAGUAUUUUAGCUUAAUUGUAGUUGGGUAUUUUUAAUAAAAUUUUGAUCGUCAAAUUAAAGAAAAACAAACAAAUUCCAGACUGCUAAACGAGUCAAAACAAUUUUGUUAAUGUGGUUUCAUUUUCAAACCCACAUGUGAUCAAUUAUUUAAAUUAAGGUUAGUUUUUAAAUUUUAGCUCAUUUAUUUUUUUUUAGACAUUUCAAUUUAUUCUCUUCUGAAUCAACAUUUAACAUCCUGAGGAGAAGAUUUUCGAUCGAGGAUCGAUCAGUCUAUUUGAGAAAACUCCAUAUGUAUUUGCCCCCCCAAAAAAAAAAAAGAAAUAUUUUUAAGUACAAUAAACAAGAAAAUACUAUUUAUUACACCCACAAUAAUCUUGUAAUCCACGAAAAACAUGAAACGAUUAAAUUCUUCAAAUGGCAGUAACGUGAUUAUAUAAAAUAACUUUGUGGAGCUCUCUGGAGGAGAGACGGAGAGAAUGUCAAGAACAAGGAACGAUAUAUCAAAUAUGAUAUAAGAACUAUUUUGGCUAAAAUUCUUGUGGAGCUGCUUGAAAAAUGCAAAAAGCCAUCAAAUAAAUAUAACUGUAAAUUGUCGUGUUUUUCUUAUUUGUUUCAAAAAUUUCUUUCAUAAUUGAUAGCAACGGCAGAUAAAGAUGAAAGACGGUGAGAUGAGAUGAGUGAGGUUCAGUCAACACAACAUCAUCAGCGGCGGGGACCUCACUCAACCAUUAUAGGCAAACAAGUGCAGCAGUCACGGCUCCACAAACACUCCGCAAUCAUAAAAAAACUCAAAUUAUUUGCACACCAUUUUUCUUCCUUUCUUUCUUUUUUCUCACUGGACAAAAUAAUCAAAUAUCUUUUGAAUUGAUUGAAUAUGCUGUUAAAAUUUGAUUGAUGUAACUACGGGGUUGUUAGAACGUCUACAAGUAAUAUCGAUCGUAAUUUUUUUUAUUACUGAUAGUAAUUUUAUUAUAAACUUCUCAUUGUUGUAUAGCACGUGUAAAUUAAUAUGCAAGUUGUAAAUACAAUGAUAAAAUUAAUUAUUUGAAAUAAUGAAGGAUUUUAACAUAAACAUGUCCUAUAAUAAAAAACUUACAGAAUUGUAGAUAUUUAAAGACUUAUUUUUUUCCUUAGCACAAAUGUUCUUACAUUUUAAAAUAUAGAUUUGACCUACAUUACACAUCAUUAUUUAUAUUAGAACGUAAUAUCGAUCGUAAUUUUUUUUUUGUUAUUGGUAGUAAUUUUAUUAUUAGGCUUCUCAAUGUUGUCUAGCACGUGUAAAUUAAUAUGCAAGUUGUAAAUACAAUGAUAAAAUUAAUUAUUUGAAAUAAUGAAGGAUUUUAACAUAAACAUGUCCUAUAAUAAAAAACUUACAGAAUUGUAGAUAUUUAAAGACUUAUUUUUUUCCUUAGCACAAAUGUUCUUACAUUUUAAAAUAUAGAUUUGACCUACAUUACACAUCAUUAUUUAUAUUAGAACGUAAUAUCGAUCGUAAUUUUUUUUUUGUUAUUGGUAGUAAUUUUAUUAUUAGGCUUCUCAAUGUUGUCUAGCACGUGUAAAUUAAUAUGCAAGUUGUAAAUACAAUGAUAAAAUUAAUUAUUUGAAAUAAUGAAGGAUUUUAACAUAAACAUGUCCUAUAAUAAAAAACUUACAGAAUUGUAGAUAUUUAAAGACUUAUUUUUUUCCUUAGCACAAAUGUUCUUACAUUUUAAAAUAUAGAUUUGACCUACAUUACACAUCAUUAUUUAUAUUAGAACGUAAUAUCGAUCGUAAUUUUUUUUUUGAUAAGCCUCGAGUACAGGAAAAACACUGUGGGAAGAAGAAGCAAAUGGAAGUUGACACGUAGAGUUUAAAACAAGGAGCCAAAAUAUGAAUAAUAAAAUAAAAUCAAAUAAAAGAUUUUGAUGUGAAGGAUGGAAUCUAGUGCAGAAGCUUUUGCUUCCUCAGUCUUCCCAUCCUAACAUGGAAAAUGAUAAAUAAAAUAAAAUAAUGAUCAAUUAAAAGCAAAUAACCACAAUGGGAGGCUUUUAACAGUCUCGUGUGUAGAUUCUUGUGUUUGUGCUUUAGCACCCUAAAAAUUGAGGAUAAGUCUGAAAAAUGUUAGGGUUUUGGCUCGUCGUGAUGCGUGUUAAAAUAAAUUUUCUACGCUUCCAUUAAAAACAGCAUAAUAACACGUGAGCCCCUUGUUUUAUACAUUUUCUUACUAAGAACAUGAUUUGACUAUUUUGUAUCAAAUAAGUCUCUGACUUAUUAAAACAAUCAAUUACCGUGAUAAUAUUGCAUGUUUAUUGUCAAAAUAUAAAAGGAAUCUAUGGCAAUUACCACUAAAAUGUAUUUUAUUUAUUAUAAAGGUAAUUUGAUUAUUUUAUUAUUUAUUAUAACCUAAUUUUAGUCUAAUAUUUAUCAUUGUAUAUAUACUCUAGCUAUUAGUUAAAAGAGUGCGAUGAUUAAUGACAAAUUUAGAAUUUAAUAUUACAAAAGGUAAAAAAUUAUAGAGAUAAAUAUUUAAAGGAAAAAAUCUAAAAAAACAAAAGAAAAGAAAAUAUUGGAAUAAACUAUUACAUUAAUAGACAAAAUUUAUAAAGUUAGGUUAUUAAAAGAAUGAAAUAAGAUUAUAGAAUAAUUAAAGAGUAUUUUAAAAAAUUGAACUCUUUUAAAAAAAUUAUUAUUUCUAAUCUUAAAAGUCUGAAACUCAAGUUUUUGCUAACAAAAAAAUUUACUUAAUCUCUAUAAAUUCUACUCAAAAGUGUCUGUAGAAUUAAAGAAAACAUUUUUAUCAUUACAUAAAUUAUACUGAAUAGUGAAUAUACACUUAAUUGAUUUGAAUGUAUAAACCAAACCUUUAGUUGAGAAAUUGUACAAUAUCAGGGAGCCACAUGUUAUUGACAGUUAUAAAAAUGUAGGAGAAGUCAGUGUUCCACGUGCUUAUGGGGACUCUCUCUCCUUCUUCAAUGAAUCAGUAGUCCAGACCACAUACUCCCAUUACUUCACAACUUCAAUGCAAUUGUUUUUUUUUUUUUUUUGACACUCAAUUGCACUCUCUGAGUCUGACCAUCUGUUCCCCAACCCUUCUUUUGUUUGCUGCUUCAUCCCCACCACUCUCUCUCUUUCCCCAUCACUCCUUCUCACACGCUCACACACAAAUCAACAACUAGCAAGAAAAGCGCUAGCAACUGUUACUGAGCAUUAGUAGUGUUAAUUGAUGAGAAAAUAUUAGCAAUAAGAUUCAUAUAGCAAGCCCUAUCUUCAAUGGAAGCAAGAGUUGUUGGUGUUAAUCAUGAUCAAGGCGCUGCUGCAGCAGGUGCUGCGGUUGAUGAUAUGGGGGAUGGCAUGCAGUGCAGUAACCAUCCGUAUAGGAAUAACCCAGGUGGGAUCUGUGCUUUUUGCCUUCAAGAAAAGCUUGGCAAGUUAGUUUCCUCUUCUUUCCCUUUACCCAUUCGCGGCUCCUCUUCUUCUUCUUCGUCUCCCCCUUCCUUCAGAUCUGACAAUAUUGGUGGUGCUGGUGUUGCUUCCGGCAAUGGCGGUGGCCUUGUUACCGGCAGUGCUGCUGCUGCUUCUCUUUCGCUUUCUCUUUCAGCUCGUCCUACUUCGACUAGUAGUAGUACUACGAGAAGUAGAAAUGUUAGUAAUGGCAUUGCCAAUGAUCAAUUUUAUUACACAACGAGGCGGGCCAGGAUUCCUUUUCUUUUGGCCAAGAAGAAGAAAAAGAUAAUGGUUGGACCAUCAGCAACAUCAGAUCGUGCGGCUGAUAUUGUUUUCAAGAGAAGCAAGUCUACUACAACUCCUAGAAGGGGCCAUGGGCAUUUUCUUGAUGAUACUAAUAAUGAAGAUUUUAGCCCAAGAAAAAGAGGGUUUUGGUCUUUUCUUUAUCACUCUUCAUCAUCAUCGAAGAAUAAAGUUGAUCACAAGAUCACAACUUUAGCAACACCGAAUGGGGGGUCUUCUCAUUUGAGAUCUUCAUUGUCUAAAAAGAGUGCUACCAAUAUUGUGAUAGAGGAAGAUGAUGAUGAUGAUGAUGAAGACGGAAGUCCCAACAGUGCUUCUCAAGCAACUGCUUCAUCUUUUGAGAGGAAAGUUUCAAGAUCCAGAUCUGUUGGCUGUGGGAGCAGGAGCUUUUCAGGUGACUUCUUUGAGAGAAUCUCAACUGGGUUUGGUGAUUGCACCCUCAGAAGAGUUGAGUCUCAAAGAGAAGGCAAGCCAAAAGUGCACAAUGCUGCUUCAUCUUCUCAUCACCAUCAUCACAUGAAAGAAAGAGUCAAAUGUGGUGGCAUUUUUGGUGGGUUCAUAAUGACCUCAUCUUCCUCUUCAUCAUCUUCAUCGUCUUAUUGGGUUUCUUCAUCGUCUACUGAUCAUCAAGAUAAUGUCAAUGGAAAAUCAUCAUCGUCACUUGCUCAUGGAAGGAGUAGGAGCUGGGGCUGGGCUUUUGCUAGUCCGAUGAGAGCUUUCGGCAGCAAGCCCUCUUCAAAAGAUGGCAGCAAAAAAAGAGACCACGUCAUCAGAGAAUCUGCUAAUAAAAACACCACUCCAAAUUUGGCUGCGAUUCCUUCAUUGUUAGCUGUGAGAGGCUAAAGAUUCAUCAUUUAAUUAAAAUUUGGGGUUCUUUGGGUAUACAAUUUCUCUGUUUUCUAUCUUUAAUCCCUUGUUCUUAAUUAAGUUCCUUCUAGUGCUGCUGCCGCUGCUACUGUUACACUUCUUUUUAAUCUUUGUAAUUGUACUUUUGUUUUAUGUGCAAAUUGUUCGUUAUCUUUUCUAGAUCGGCUGGCUAGUAAGCAUAUGCAUUGAGGAGAAGAAAUGUUGACUAGUAUUAAUUAGUUCGUAUGUAUUCUGUUUUGUUGUGUGAUUUGCCGGGGUUUCGUGACGAUGAAUCUGUUAUGUGUUUUCUUUAAUUUGAUAUUACAUUUCAUUUCUAGUGUUUCUUAUUAUUAUUUGUAAGCUGCAUCUCGGGACUUUGUGCGUAUACAGGAGAUUUAGUCUAAUUUUCUAAUAAUUUUUUAGAACAAAGUUGCUGAAUUUUUCUCGGCACAUGCUUACACAUGUUCGUUGGUGAUAGGCAUGUUGGAAGGCCUAUGCUAUGACCAUGUAGACUCAUCCAAAUUUUGUUCUGAUAUGAAUCAAAAUUUAAGUGGAAAAAAAAUUGCGUGAUUACAUGUUUGGUGCAGCUAAGAACACCUAGACUAUUUGACAUUUUGACAUCUAGAGCACUAUAGUAUUGAAAUUUGAAAGAAAAAAAAAAGGGUAUUCUUUGCCAAUGCAAACAUGGUCUUAAGUCCUGAGAGUGAUCGAAUUAUCUCAAGCUACCCAUCACAGCCCUGAUUUUUCCAAACCCUAAUUUAUGACACACGAAAGAUGAUGUACGGAAGGAUGACUACAUUUGGAAACACAGCCUUAAUCAUGCGUGAGCUAUAAAUGAUUUGCCAGUGUAAAGAGCUAGGCCCCCGGCCCCCGGCCACUAAGAGCAGGUUCCUUGUAAAUGGAAGCUGUACUAAUCUGUGGGUGUUUUUUUUUUUUUAUUAUUGUUACAUGAGAUUAAUAUUUAAAUUAUAAUUCAUAUUACAUGAAAUUAUAACUUAUAUUUAUAAAUUAAACUAUCACAUGUCUAAAUUAUAACUCAUAUUACAUGAAAUUAUAACUGAUAUUUAUAAAUCAGACUAUCACUGGGACCAACUUACAUCAAUACUAAUGAAACUCUGUCCAGAUUUUAACCCUUACAAAUAUUCGAGGGAUGUCUACUCCCUACUCUUGAGUAAGAAAAUAGACUACCUUCACUUAAUUUUAAUUAAAAAAUAUAUAUAUAUUUGUGGGAGUUCGAACUGCUGCAGCGUGGCUAAUCUGUGGGUGUUUAUGUGAAGCAAAGAUUCAGUUUACUUUAUUUCUUUCUAAUUCAAUGUUCGAGCUGUUAGUCAAAAUUUGAGUGUGCAACGAAUAAUCAUCACUAACAGUUUGAUUACGGGUCUACUUAGAUUAUAAAUUAUUUCUUCAUUAGGAUGUAAGUAAUCAACAAUUUAUGAAUGUGAAGGAUUCAGAAUUUUGCAGCAUUUAUGAAAAUGAUCCUGAGCUCUGCCCCUUCAUCAUGAGUUGUGAACUAUAAUAUUAAUUGAAUUCUUUUAGCAACACANNNNNNNNNNNNNNNNNNNNNNNNNNNNNNNNNNNNNNNNNNNNNNNNNACAGCAGAUAUAUAUAUAUAUGAUAAUUUCGCAUUAAAAAUGAUUCAUUUUUCAGAAACAAAAUUAAAAAAAAAAAAGAAAAGAAAAGAAAGAAAGAAAACACAAGUUAAAGAUGUGAGAAAAUAAUGAAAGGGACGCAAGAGAAAAGAGCGAAGUACACGAAGGGCAAAGAGACAAGGGAAAAGGCUGCUUCACACUGUUACAUUGGCAAUUUGGGCACAGACAAUUAAUACGUGGACCCAUUCUGGAAGCUGCACUUUUUUAAUCCACAAUGCCCUUUAGAUUUUCAUUUUCCUUUUGUCAUGAAGAUUACAUACUUGCUUUUGAUUCUCAGAAUUCAGAUAUUGGGAAGGGGCAAAGCUCCUCCUCCUUUAUACCUUUUUGAACCAAAAAGUCUUUUUCUUUUGUCACCUAAUUUUCAAACUUAUUUUUUUUCUUUUUUUUUUUUAAUUUAGUAAUUUAGCUCACUUAAUGAAACCUAUUAGCUUUUGCUUUAAAAAAAUGCUAAGUGGGUUGUGUUUGUACAUUGAUCUUAAUUUGUGCUAUUUUCGCAAUUUACUCAAAGAAAAUGGGAAGAAACACAUAAAUUAAAGCUUGGACCGUUGAACGCUUAUUAUUACUUAACCAAAAAAAAAAAAAAAACACACACACACACAAAAACAAAAACAAAAACAAAAACAAAAACGAUUGAACUCUUGAUCUUACUUCUUAGGGCCAAUAAAAUGAAGUUAUGUAGGACGACGCCGUAGGGACACAAAGGGCCGAAAAAUUUAUGGCCAUGCACUGAACUUUCCCUGUUACGUUUGGACGGACUCGACUGCCUACUACUAUUGAAGCAACUAUUGACAACAACUUACGAUAUGGUCAACUAAUUUCAUAAAUAAAAGUCAAUUUAAUGGUAAUAUUGUGAAAAUUUUAAUAAAUACACGCGACACACUUGUCGGCCGAUCGCUUUGAUAUAUGUUAUUAAAAAGGAAUAAAUAUCAAAUGGGCAAGUGAAUUUCGAUUAGUUGUAGAAUUUGUUCAUUUAUUUUAUCUAUAAAAUUGAAAGCAAAAUCUUGAGGCGAAUUUUUCAACGUAUACUAAUUAGAUUGACCUAAACAGUGAAUUCGGUUGAUUAUUGACUAAAAUUGUCGACAUUUGGCAGAAUAAAAUGAGUAACACAUUAGUUUCCUCUUAAUAUGCAACUUGGUGAUAACAUAUCAACAUUUCAAAUAGGACUAUUAAUUUUGCAUACGAUGUACACUUAGAAACUUCGUGAUUAUGGGGUAGUUUAUGCAUUAAUGAUGGCCGUAUGUUUUGGAAAAGGUAAGAAUAUAUGUAUAUUAAAACUAAUAAAGGCGGCUAUUAUUUAUUUAUUUAUUUUUUUUGAAUGAGGCUAUUAUUUAUGUGUUUGUUUUUCCUUCGAGGAGGAAAAUGGGCGUCCUCUAGUUUCAUGGAGUGGGGAAUUUGAUAUGACGUUAAGCUUAUCUUUAAUGGGUUGUUGAACAAAUUAGACCUUUGUGUAUGUUGUAUUGUAUGUUAUAAUCAACAUCAUUAUCGUUUUUUGGAUUCUUGAUUUGCGACAUAAACAUGGGUCCCAUCCUCACAUGCUUGCAUUAUCUUAACAACUUUGAAAGGAACGUUUUCUUUUUUUUCUUUCCUGAUCUUUUGUCGAUUUGAUUCACAAAAUUUCACAAGCCACAAAUUGAUCAACAUUUUUCUUAGUACAAAUUAUUAUUGCUGAUGUUUGUAAUUAUAUAUCUUCAUGUCUAUGGGACAUGGCUAACAUUGAAGCAAGCUUAGAUCGGGCCUAGGCCGAGCCUACACCAAGAUCUAGAAUUGGGCCUACUUGACAGGACCUAUCUUGCUUUGACCAAUGUUUAGGUGCCCUAGUUUUGACUGGGGGUGAUCACAAGCAACAUUUAGGAACUUCUUGUGUUAUCUUCCUGUUAGUAGACCUCGAGUAAUGGUUGUGCGACCCUCUAGCACUAGUCAAAACAUUGGACCCUUGACAAUGGAGUAAUGAUUUUCACCCACUUCAUUUUAUCUUAUCAACCUCUCACUUCUCAAUUAAAUUUAUUUAUUUAUUUCUAACCGCCAAUCCCAUUUGCAGUCACUCUUGGAAUCUUCAACAACAUUACUGUAUGUCGAUCAAUUCGAAUUGGGACACAUGCUAUCGCCCUAAAAUCUCAAUCUCCUAGGCCAAAAUAACGGCACCGUGCAUAUGCCCAGUUGGAACAUGAUCUUUCUUUACUGUUCAAACUACCCAUAUAUUUUUUUAACGUAUUAAAUUUUAUUUCUGAAUGAGAUUAUUGAAAGAGUUGCCGUGAAGUUUUUGGUCCUCCAAUCACUAGACUUUGAUUUCUGAUAUUUAAUUUUAAGUUGUAAUGAUUUUAGUUCAAGCAAGCUGGAGAAAUAAGAAUGAAGCUUGAUUUUUUGGAUAUCGAAUUUCAGAGAAAAGGUUCUUUGUGAUUGUCCGUGAAGAAAUCACCACAUGUGAUUUCAAUGAGGUUAGAUCCGAAAACCUGUAAUAUCGACAUACAACCCAUUACUGUCACCGGGCACUAGUUUACAAAAUUGGCAUAUUCCUCUGUUUCUUCAGGUUUAUUGAUGCCUCUUAGUGGUAUUUAUUUGAAUAAGAUUUUUGCCUUACCAUUUGGUUUAUUGAUGAUUUUUGCGUUACCAUUUGGUUAAUUGAUUCUGCCUCUUAGUGGUAUUUAUGGUUAUGGACCUCAACAAGAAUAAGACUAGUCUGCUGAAUCCUCGAUGUAUUGUUUACAUCUGCAGGUCUUAAAAUUCCAAGAAAUAAGAUCAAUUGUUUACACAAACGUUAAGUUAACCUCCUUAUUUGCAGCGGUCAUCAAACUCAAAGAUGUUUUAGAUUUAGUUUUCCCUGUUUUGUCACUAAAAAUGCAAUCAGAUUGCUGAUUAAGGUUAAAAAAACUAUUGCGUAUCACAAAUUGACGACUGACGUUAACAUAAUUCACCAAGAGAUUGCAAAUGGCCAGGUAAUAAAGUUGCAUCACUUUUGUAAUUUGGUUUGAAUUGUAGAUUUAUACGAGUAGUUAUAAAGACAAGACUUCAUUAGUUUGUGUGCUUGAUAGUGAUUAUGAAAUGCACAGUGACAUAAGCAUAUUAAAAAGAAGCUUCUUCACAAUCAAAGAAGACAAGCCGAGAUCAACCGCUCUUGCAGCUUAACAACAGCCAAAACUUCACUCGUCUUGGCAAAAUGGUUGCUUAACACACUGUGUGCAAGGUUCUUAGAACUCUUUCUGACUUAAAAUAUAUAUAUAUAUAUAUAUUAUAUUAAUUAUGGGAAACUUCGUUCAACCCACCCACAUAGCUGGAUUUAUAAGAUGGUAGGAGUAUUGUCCUUUAUAUAGUGGCUCAACGGUUCCAUCUUGUAAGUUAUAAAUUCCCAUAUCUUUACCUCCAAAUUCAGUGUGUUCCUCCUCGUGCAUGUACCAGUAACCCUCGCCAUAAUCAUCCGUAAAAUAUAUGCAGUUGGUUUUACAACGAGGUUUGCUCGAUACAUCUAGGGAUAGAGAAGAAUUAUGACCCAAAAAGAUAGAUCUAUAAGCCAGAUUCUUGAUCUCCUUCCAUCUUUUGGUACCUAAGUAGACUUCAAAAACUUGAAAUCCAUAUGUUCCAUAAUGUAAGACGUCUUCAUUGCCUGGAUGAACAGGUCGUAAGUCCACGCCUUCACGUGAAACCACCCAUAAUUUUCUAACCGAAUCUUCCGAACCGACCAAAUACAAGCAUUCCUGUUUUUGCCGACGCAAUCCAUCGGGUAAUGGAGCAGAGGCUGAGCGUGCAACAUCACCAUCGAUGGCGAAUAUUUCAGCGUCACCAUUGAUAGCAUAAAACUGGUCUCUGUGACAAACAACAUCCCAAAAACUGGAAUGCUCUGUGUUGUUUACUUUUGUCCAAGCUUCAUCACCAGGCUUGGCCCGGGCUAAUUUCGCAGUGCCACCGUAAAUAAUAACAACUUGCUGCGAAUCUGAAACAGCACAUUUGGACAUACAAAAAGCAAACGUAGUCGUGUUUUCAACAUCCCAAUCCCGGAUUGUGUCCAUGUGUGGGAGUUGGAGCUGAACACGUGAGAAAGGAUGGAACAUAACUCAAACUCAAAUCUGGGGCAAGCUUAAUAAGCCAGCCCCCCCGUGAGGGUAAGUACCUCGCAGAGUCAAAAUCUGGCAAUGUUACACGUCGAAUCAUACCUUGGGUCAGACUGAAGAAAAUAGAUUGAUCUUUGAUAUGUUCUUGAUCUUGAUCUUGAUCAUCCUCUUUCGCUGGUGCGGGUGGAAACACGAGCCAUGGAACUUGACUUGAUUUGUACAUGAAAUUCUCCGAAACUGCAGCGAAUCUCCAUGACGUGCAGACCCCACCAAAGGAAGCAAAAUCCUCGUACCACUUUACCCACCUUGCAAUUUCCACCAGAAGAUCGCCAUGAAGGUCUGACCAACGAUUGUCGUUGGCCGCCAUGGUUUGCUCUCGUUUCUCUACUCUCCUCUCUUCCAUUCGCGUCUGAUUGUUUGUGAUAAAUACACAAGACAUCUAGGGUUAUUUAUGUUUUUGUAGCCACCCGACCGACAGAACUGAAUUCAACCCUUUAUUAAUACUUGUUUUUGUUUGUGAAUGUCAGGAAUUCGGUUUGGAUUCAGAUUUCCCAAAUUAUAUUUUUUCUCUGAAAAAGGAUUUGAAUGCUGCUCUCCAGUCUCCAUAAUCUAUAAAUCUAAUUAUCUUUUUCACCGUUAAAUGAAUUUUUUCAUACGUAGAGAUAGUAACGGGCCGUGUUGGGCCGGCACAACUGAGCAUAGGCCCCUUCAGGUCCGUGAGCCAUCGCAAUACAACCCAUUUGUCAAGUGGGUCAUGACGUAAUUUAAGCACACCUACAUUUCAAUUAAAAAAAAAUUAAAGUUAAUGAUACCAUACAAAUUUUUGUAUAAUACAAAUCAAUGUGACAUAAUAUUAUUAUAGAUUGAAUGAAAACAAAAUAAAGUUUAUAGAUCGUCUAAUGUUCUUAUUCUAUGAAUCAUGUUAUAUUAAAUCGACUUGUACAAAAAUAAUUUGUACAAGUAGAUAUAGGCUUAAACCUUAGAAAUUGGCUAAAAUAUUGGGAGGGAAUCCACUUGAACAAUUUGUUUUUUUUUUUCCCGUAAUACUUGAACAUAAUAAAAAUAUAAAACGGUCAAUUACUGUAUUUACCUUUAAUUUCCUGUUCUUAAUUAAGUUUUAGUCUUUUGUAAUUUUACUUAUGUUUUACCUGCAAGUUGUUGUCCUUUUUAGAUUAGCUAGAAUUAAUUAAUUAGUACAAAUGUAUUCUCCUUUGUUGUGAUUUGCUGGGAUUUUGUGAUGAUGAAUCUGUUGUGCGCUUUGGAUCUCUAUGCAUAAAUAAGAAAUGAGUUUAAUUUUCUAAUGAUUUUGCAAAACAAAAUUUGCUGAAUUUUUUCUUGCACAUGCAUACGCGUGUUUGUUGGUGUUAAGACAAGUUGAAAAGUAUAGGAUCUGACCGGAUAUACGAAUCAAAAUUAGGAAAAAUAAAAGAAAAAAUUGAAAUGAGUAGAGCAGCAAGUAGUCUUUGUGUAUAUACUGUAAAGGUUGUAAAUUGAAAUGAAUCAAGCGAACUUACAUGAACAAAACAUUUGCGAAAAACUCAACUAUCUGAAACAGAAAACCAGAUACAAUUCAAGCUGAUAUUCAUCAAAGAGUGAGAUUUUCACAGAACAUGAAGAGUGUAAAAAGCUUGCCUCAGCGGGUACUUUUUUCAAACACUAGCCUAUAUGAGUAUCACUAAGAUGUGCAAUGCCUAUGGCCAUUUGGUGCCAAAAUUAAAACGCUAAAGCAAAUUUGUUUUUGAUAACAUCUUGAAACUCUUUACAUUGAUAACUAAUCAAAGAUACUACGUGUUAUGCACUAUUAAGACAUAUACUUUGUUUGAUUCUUAAUCAUGUUUGAUUGAUUCUACCACCUUUGCAGUGUUAUAUGUAUGUGUGUGUAUAUAUGGGAUAAUUAUCCAAACUAGUAUCCGGACUGAGGCCGUUGGAUUUAUUUAUUUAUUUAUUAAUCUGCUACACAUGGUCCCAAUCCUGGACUUUAAUUACAGUCUGGGAUCCCAGACCGCAUAACCCCUCUAUAUAUAUAUAAAAGUAAUUUUGCAAUACAGGAAUUCUUUACUUUUAUUGACAAGUUAAUAGACAAAAUCAUGGAAAUGCACUAUUAAAAGUUGUCAAUAACAGUUGAUAUCAAUACAACAGCAAAGACUUAAGAGUGAGUCAAAAUUGCUACUGUAACAACAUCACUUAAAAAGUUAAAGCACCGCUAACAGCAAAGGAUCUGCUGCUAUGCGCCACCACUCCCUAGUGUGCCCUGACUUUGUGGUUCAACAGCAUCUCUCGAAGCUCUGCUGGAUCAAUCUCGACCGCCCGAUUCUCCGGCCUGUAGUACCCAGUGAUGGGAUCUGGGGCCCAGGCAGAAGAGGCCCCAGAAUCCUCUCUCACCGCAGGCCUCAAAUCAUUUUUCUCCAUGAUACCAGUCCGAGAUAUGGUCCCCAAGGGUGCUGCUGCAGCAUAUCCUCUCCUGUCCAUUUAAGAAAUUAUUAAUUAUUCUUAUUAAAAGAAAAAAAGAAAAGAAAGAAAGAAAGAAAGAAAGAAAGAAAUCAUUAAUCAUAAGUGAAAGAAAUGAGAAUUAUAUAACAAAGAAAAAGAUUACUUUAAAGAGUUUUUAUAAUUCACAUGGUGAAACAGAAUCAUAUGAUCUAGCUAGCUUGUGCAAACCGAGGUGUUACUAAAAGCGCUAAUAAUCAAUCUGCAAAUGCUUUAGGUUAUUGAAUUAAUGCGUCUCAAGAAUGCGUUUAAAACAAAAUUAAGCGAUUUCGCCUUUCCAAAGUAUUUGCGGAGGAACAAAUAUACAAGGUCCUGUAUAAUAUUAAGGAAAGAUAAGGGUGCAAAAUAAUAUUUAGCCCAAUUAAGACCGUCCCAAUGUUAGUUUACUUUUUGGCCCCUCGUAUUCAUGAUUUUUAUGUUCUAACCCUCGAUGAAUCCGAUCAUUUUAAAAAAUUUUAUUUUUCACAUACGAAAGUCGAUCAAAAUCACAUGGCGAGUUUACAGAAAGGCUACGUUUGUUUUUUUUUUUUCGAAUUCGUUUGUUUGUUAAGUUAUGAAGGAAAAAAAAAAAAGAAAAACAUUUGGGAGAUGACUUGAUCUCUUCUGAAAUGUCACUAGAAAUGUUUAGAUUGAUCAAGAAACAAAUAUAAACAGCUAAGGAUUCAAUGAUGAUGAGAUCAAGCGACACAACGUAGAACAAGAAACAAGAUAAAAUUAUCAUUUCAAAGAAGACCCAAAGAGAGAGAGAGAGAGAAAAAAAAGAGUUCUGUAAACAGACCUGCUAAUGGAGAGCGAGAUGCCAUCAGCAACAGGAGCAAGAAGAAGCUUAGCUUUGAAGAGAGAGCGGGCCAUUGUUUUAUUUACUUAUAGAACUUAAUAGAUAUGAAGAUAGCUAGCUGGGAUGUUUCUGUACAGUGCUACUACAGAAGAAGAAAGAUUCUGCUCCUGCAGUAGCUAUAGGCAAAAGCUAGCGGCUCGCUCUCUUUGUGCUGUGCUUGUGAGGAAGAAGGCUUUAGGGUUUUCUGUUAUUUAUAAAGAGAAAGGAGAAACUGUGAGGAGGCGACUUGUUGGAUUUGGGUUGGGCCGUUCUUUCAGAAGACAAAAGAUCUUGUCUGAGUAAUCUGACACGUCUUCUUAGGAGUUGAUGAUUCAUCGAAUCCUGACACAAUGUUAUUAUUA